This 468-nucleotide ribosomal RNA is filed under the name uncultured bacterium. RNAcentral's name for it is "bacterial SSU rRNA". It matches the Rfam family "Bacterial small subunit ribosomal RNA", at positions 335 to 800 of the family's 1533-position model. The record is from RNAcentral.
ACUCCUACGGGAGGCAAGCAGUGAGGGAAUAUUGGACAAUGGGCGAGGCCUGAUCCAGCCAUGCCGCGUGCAGGAAGAAUGCCCUAUGGGUAGUAAACUGCUUUUAUACGGGAAGAAAAGGGGCACGUGUGCCCUGUUGACGGUACCGUAAGAAUAAGGACCGGCUAACUCCGUGCCAGCAGCCGCGGUAAUACGGAGGGUCCGAGCGUUAUCCGGAAUUAUUGGGUUUAAAGGGUCCGUAGGCGGGCCGGUAAGUCAGGGGUGAAAGUCUGUAGCUCAACUAUAGAACUGCCUUUGAUACUGCCGGUCUUGAGUCACGGUGAAGUUGCCGGAAUAUGUGGUGUAGCGGUGAAAUGCAUAGAUAUCACAUAGAACACCGAUUGCGAAGGCAGGUGACUAACCGUGUACUGACGCUGAUGGACGAAAGCGUGGGGAGCGAACAGGAUUAGAUACCCUGGUAGGUCAGUC